This 497-nucleotide ribosomal RNA is filed under the name uncultured bacterium. RNAcentral describes it as "partial 16S ribosomal RNA". It matches the Rfam family "Bacterial small subunit ribosomal RNA", at positions 28 to 507 of the family's 1533-position model. The record is from RNAcentral.
GAUGAACGCUGGCGGCGUGCCUAAUACAUGCAAGUCGAGCGAACAGACGAGGAGCUUGCUCCUCUGACGUUAGCGGCGGACGGGUGAGUAACACGUGGAUAACCUACCUAUAAGACUGGGAUAACUUCGGGAAACCGGAGCUAAUACCGGAUAAUAUAUUGAACCGCAUGGUUCAAUAGUGAAAGACGGUUUUGCUGUCACUUAUAGAUGGAUCCGCGCCGCAUUAGCUAGUUGGUAAGGUAACGGCUUACCAAGGCAACGAUCCGUAGCCGACCUGAGAGGGUGAUCAGCCACACUGGAACUUAGACCCGGUCCAGACUCCUACGGGAGGCAGCAGUAGGGAAUCGUCCGCAAUGGGCGAAAGCUUGACGAAGCAAGGACGCGUGAGUGAUGAAGGUCUUCGGAUCGUAAAACUGUGUUAUUAGGGAAGAACAAAUGUGUAAGUAAAUAUGCACGUCUUGACGGUACCUAAUCAGAAAGCAACGGCUAACUACGUG